This 2892-nucleotide ribosomal RNA is filed under the name Escherichia coli. RNAcentral's name for it is "bacterial LSU rRNA". It matches the Rfam family "Bacterial large subunit ribosomal RNA". Lineage: Bacteria; Pseudomonadati; Pseudomonadota; Gammaproteobacteria; Enterobacterales; Enterobacteriaceae. The record is from RNAcentral.
ACUAAGCGUACACGGUGGAUGCCCUGGCAGUCAGAGGCGAUGAAGGACGUGCUAAUCUGCGAUAAGCGUCGGUAAGGUGAUAUGAACCGUUAUAACCGGCGAUUUCCGAAUGGGGAAACCCAGUGUGAUUCGUCACACUAUCAUUAACUGAAUCCAUAGGUUAAUGAGGCGAACCGGGGGAACUGAAACAUCUAAGUACCCCGAGGAAAAGAAAUCAACCGAGAUUCCCCCAGUAGCGGCGAGCGAACGGGGAGGAGCCCAGAGCCUGAAUCAGUGUGUGUGUUAGUGGAAGCGUCUGGAAAGGCGCGCGAUACAGGGUGACAGCCCCGUACACAAAAAUGCACAUACUGUGAGCUCGAUGAGUAGGGCGGGACACGUGGUAUCCUGUCUGAAUAUGGGGGGACCAUCCUCCAAGGCUAAAUACUCCUGACUGACCGAUAGUGAACCAGUACCGUGAGGGAAAGGCGAAAAGAACCCCGGCGAGGGGAGUGAAAAAGAACCUGAAACCGUGUACGUACAAGCAGUGGGAGCCUCUUUUAUGGGGUGACUGCGUACCUUUUGUAUAAUGGGUCAGCGACUUAUAUUCUGUAGCAAGGUUAACCGAAUAGGGGAGCCGAAGGGAAACCGAGUCUUAACUGGGCGUUAAGUUGCAGGGUAUAGACCCGAAACCCGGUGAUCUAGCCAUGGGCAGGUUGAAGGUUGGGUAACACUAACUGGAGGACCGAACCGACUAAUGUUGAAAAAUUAGCGGAUGACUUGUGGCUGGGGGUGAAAGGCCAAUCAAACCGGGAGAUAGCUGGUUCUCCCCGAAAGCUAUUUAGGUAGCGCCUCGUGAAUUCAUCUCCGGGGGUAGAGCACUGUUUCGGCAAGGGGGUCAUCCCGACUUACCAACCCGAUGCAAACUGCGAAUACCGGAGAAUGUUAUCACGGGAGACACACGGCGGGUGCUAACGUCCGUCGUGAAGAGGGAAACAACCCAGACCGCCAGCUAAGGUCCCAAAGUCAUGGUUAAGUGGGAAACGAUGUGGGAAGGCCCAGACAGCCAGGAUGUUGGCUUAGAAGCAGCCAUCAUUUAAAGAAAGCGUAAUAGCUCACUGGUCGAGUCGGCCUGCGCGGAAGAUGUAACGGGGCUAAACCAUGCACCGAAGCUGCGGCAGCGACACUGUGUGUUGUUGGGUAGGGGAGCGUUCUGUAAGCCUGUGAAGGUGUGCUGUGAGGCAUGCUGGAGGUAUCAGAAGUGCGAAUGCUGACAUAAGUAACGAUAAAGCGGGUGAAAAGCCCGCUCGCCGGAAGACCAAGGGUUCCUGUCCAACGUUAAUCGGGGCAGGGUGAGUCGACCCCUAAGGCGAGGCCGAAAGGCGUAGUCGAUGGGAAACAGGUUAAUAUUCCUGUACUUGGUGUUACUGCGAAGGGGGGACGGAGAAGGCUAUGUUGGCCGGGCGACGGUUGUCCCGGUUUAAGCGUGUAGGCUGGUUUUCCAGGCAAAUCCGGAAAAUCAAGGCUGAGGCGUGAUGACGAGGCACUACGGUGCUGAAGCAACAAAUGCCCUGCUUCCAGGAAAAGCCUCUAAGCAUCAGGUAACAUCAAAUCGUACCCCAAACCGACACAGGUGGUCAGGUAGAGAAUACCAAGGCGCUUGAGAGAACUCGGGUGAAGGAACUAGGCAAAAUGGUGCCGUAACUUCGGGAGAAGGCACGCUGAUAUGUAGGUGAAGUCCCUCGCGGAUGGAGCUGAAAUCAGUCGAAGAUACCAGCUGGCUGCAACUGUUUAUUAAAAACACAGCACUGUGCAAACACGAAAGUGGACGUAUACGGUGUGACGCCUGCCCGGUGCCGGAAGGUUAAUUGAUGGGGUCAGCGCAAGCGAAGCUCUUGAUCGAAGCCCCGGUAAACGGCGGCCGUAACUAUAACGGUCCUAAGGUAGCGAAAUUCCUUGUCGGGUAAGUUCCGACCUGCACGAAUGGCGUAAUGAUGGCCAGGCUGUCUCCACCCGAGACUCAGUGAAAUUGAACUCGCUGUGAAGAUGCAGUGUACCCGCGGCAAGACGGAAAGACCCCGUGAACCUUUACUAUAGCUUGACACUGAACAUUGAGCCUUGAUGUGUAGGAUAGGUGGGAGGCUUUGAAGUGUGGACGCCAGUCUGCAUGGAGCCGACCUUGAAAUACCACCCUUUAAUGUUUGAUGUUCUAACGUGGACCCGUGAUCCGGGUUGCGGACAGUGUCUGGUGGGUAGUUUGACUGGGGCGGUCUCCUCCUAAAGAGUAACGGAGGAGCACGAAGGUUGGCUAAUCCUGGUCGGACAUCAGGAGGUUAGUGCAAUGGCAUAAGCCAGCUUGACUGCGAGCGUGACGGCGCGAGCAGGUGCGAAAGCAGGUCAUAGUGAUCCGGUGGUUCUGAAUGGAAGGGCCAUCGCUCAACGGAUAAAAGGUACUCCGGGGAUAACAGGCUGAUACCGCCCAAGAGUUCAUAUCGACGGCGGUGUUUGGCACCUCGAUGUCGGCUCAUCACAUCCUGGGGCUGAAGUAGGUCCCAAGGGUAUGGCUGUUCGCCAUUUAAAGUGGUACGCGAGCUGGGUUUAGAACGUCGUGAGACAGUUCGGUCCCUAUCUGCCGGGGGCGCUGGAGAACUGAGGGGGGCUGCUCCUAGUACGAGAGGACCGGAGUGGACGCAUCACUGGUGUUCGGGUUGUCAUGCCAAUGGCACUGCCCGGUAGCUAAAUGCGGAAGAGAUAAGUGCUGAAAGCAUCUAAGCACGAAACUUGCCCCGAGAUGAGUUCUCCCUGACCCUUUAAGGGUCCUGAAGGAACGUUGAAGACGACGACGUUGAUAGGCCGGGUGUGUAAGCGCAGCGAUGCGUUGAGCUAACCGGUACUAAUGAACCGUGAGGCUUAACC